Molecule: unclassified non-coding RNA, 394 nt
Filed under: uncultured fungus
Lineage: Eukaryota; Fungi
Description: partial contains small subunit ribosomal RNA, internal transcribed spacer 1, and 5.8S ribosomal RNA
Rfam family: Eukaryotic small subunit ribosomal RNA (bases 1-73)
Source: RNAcentral
UCAAACUUGGUCAUUUAGAGGAAGUAAAAGUCGUAACAAGGUUUCCGUAGGUGAACCUGCGGAAGGAUCAUUAUCGAAUUGUAAUGACUUUUGGCUGUCGCUGGCUCUCCAUAUCGGGAGCAUGUGCACGCCUGGUCUAAACUUUUCACUUUAACCUCCUGUGCACUUUUUGUGGAUCGUGGAUGUGAUAAUCUUGUCGAGGUAACACUCGGUCUUGAGGUUUGUGUGGAUAAUCCACACUCUCCUCUACAUCCGUCUCCGGUUCAUGUCUUUUCUACACACCAUGUUAUUUAACUUUGAACGCUUAAACGUUGGGACUUUAGUGACCCUUCUUAAACUUUAUACAACUUUCAACAACGGAUCUCUUGGCUCUCGCAUCGAUGAAGAACGCAGC